GCAUCCAGGAUUCAAACCCACAAACCCUGGACCAACGAAGCGGAACAUGUGCACUUAAUCACUGUGCCACCGGGCUGGCCCCUACUAUUCCCAUUUUAUGGAGGCUCAGUAACUUUCCCGAAUCACUCAGCUGUUGAAGCUGGGCUUUGAGCCCUGGCAGUGUGGAUCCCAAGUCCGUGCUCUGGACUCCAAUGCUACUCUUAAUGGUCAAAUAUUGUCCGGUAGGUUUUCUGCUGGAAAUUUGAGGGUUAACUUCUCUGAGGAGCUCAACAAUCAUAUGGGAUUUUUAAAUGUCUAACUCCAGCCAGGUAGUACACUGAGGAGGUAAUGAAAAAUUAAAAGCUUUUUUUUUGGCUGAGCACUAAUCUUUGUGGUUAUAGAUGUAUCUCUGUGCCGGAGAGUACGGCACUUUAGAUGGUGUUAACAUAAAGUUGGGGUACUGUUUAAAGCUGACAGCUCCGUGUGUCUCAUGUGUUUUCUGAAAGUAAUUUUAAAGAUAAGACUUUACUCUCAAAUGUGAAAUGGAUUCUUUAAAGAUUUCCAACACCAUACAGUAUUUAUGUAAUUGUAUCGUUAUAUGGGGAAAAACUAUAGUGCCAGGAGGAGAAGAGUGUCUUAAUCAUAAAAUACUGUAUUGUCAGAAACGAAACAAAAUGUAAGCAAAGAAAUGUGAACCACACCGUGUCAGUGAGAAUUCUUGGCAUUUAAUUUUAGAAGCCAUUUUGCAUGGAAAUGAAUAAAGUAUAAACACAGUACUUUAUCUAGGAUAUGACAAGAAACUUCAAGAUUGUAAUGUGCAUUAAGAUAACAUUCCAAACCUAUCCUUUCAAGUUUUCAGCCAAGAAUUUGUUUUUAUAAUUUCUUUGCAGUUGGCAAACAGCUAGGCUCUCCCUGAGGUAUCAGUUUUCGUGCGGACGGUCCCAAUCCCAUUGUGUGUAACUGUUAACUUGCUGUGUGACCUUGACUGGAUCACUCCCUCCACCCCAGCCCAACUGAAGGGGCCGAGUCUCUCCGGCUCUGUCUGGUUUCAAAGUCCUGUCGUUCUGGCCUCUGGAUCAAGACAUAAACACCACGAAAAGCACUUGCUAGAGAGACUGGAUUUUUAAAACCUGGGCCACUUAAGGAUGUUUAAAGGAUCAGUCUAACAGCCAGCUAUGAAGAGAACAUAAACCGUGGCGGCCAGACCCUCCGGGGUUCACAGAAACAGUCCAUGUGCUUCUGGGACUCCCUGACAUGAACAGGGUCUGAGAGAGUCUGGGCAAAAGAGGCAGAGGUCACAGCCACCAUGAUGCACGAGACGACCUCGGACGCCCUCCGGAGCUGCAGAGAGGUGCCGACCCUGUGAGACACUGCCGGACCCUCCUCAAGGGCUUGUGCCUCGGCUGUGGGGCCUGAGGGCUGCUGAUGGUUCUUCAGGGGAGACCCUCUCUGGAGAGAGCCUGUGGCUGAAGAGAGCUGCUGUGCCACCCAGGGCUGCCGAUUCCAUGGAAGGGUCAGCCCUGGCCCCGGGGGGGCCAACUCCAACGUGUCCUGACAGUCCAGGGCUCUGGCGGCGUCUCCCCUGAUGUCCCCUGAGCACUACCCAGUAGACCUCCCGUCUCAGGGGCUGGGGGAUCCAGACCUGCCCCCGAAACUUACAGACCCCGGGCUCCGCUUACUUCUAACUCUGGGUCCAGGAGUAAAUUUCCUCUUCAGUAAAAUGGGAAUAAUAACAAUUAUAAUAAUUGUUUAUUGUAAGAAAAUGAGGAAAUGAAUCCAAAAUACAUAGUAAAUGAUUCAUAGCAAUAAUUUAACAUUUAUUGAGCACUUAUUAUGUGCCAGGUGCUAUUUUUUGUACUUGUUCACACAAGAACCCUAUGAGGAAGAUAAUAUCCCUAUUUUACAGAUGAGAAAACUGAGGAACAGAGACAUUAAAUACCUUAUCCAAUAUCACACAGCUAAUGACACAGUCAAGAAUUCAAACCCAGACAGCUGGAUUGCAGAACCAGCAUUCUUAGCUGAAACGGUGUUGCUGCCCAUGGAUAAAGGCAAAUUUUUAAAAUACUUGGAGAUGAUAAACAAAAGCUCAAUGGUGUCACCUGAUUCCAGAAGUACAUUUAAAACAAGGGAAUUAUAAGAGAAAAAUUUUACAAAGAAUUUCUGUGCUUCUGUUGUUUAUAUUUUUGCAUUGCUGUAGAUGAUGGUUAUUUUUGCAUCAGAUCAACCCUUUUUCAUCAAGAGAGUGAAUGAGCCAGUUGGAGGGGAGGGGCUGUAGUCUGAGGUGACAGUGGCUGUUCUGUGAGAUAAUUUGUUUUUGUUGUUUCUAUUUCAAUGAAACAUGUACUAAGUACAAGAUCAAAGAAUUUAAAAGCAGUGACAUGUUCACUAUUAGGUAGUAAUUUUAUAUACUAAGGGGGUUUAGGUUAUAUCAUAUUUCCUACAAUUUCAAAUGUCUCCCUCUCCUGGGUGACUGGGAAGUCAUCGAUCAUCACGGGAAGAGGGAUCGAGACAAAGGCCCUGCUGGCCUCGUCCCCGGUUUGCCUAGUGCUCCGUUCAGAGGGGUUGUCUGUUACCACCAACGGGAGGCAGUAGUUCCACAUUUCGCUCCCAAUCUGAACGGGUAUGUACCAUAACUUUCAUCUUGGGGUGGUGUGGUGACCCCUGUUAUCCUCUAAGUUCAGGGAAGUCUCUUUUACUCUUUACAGCACAAGUCUGUUAAAGUUUUUAUGAUUUGCAAACAAAGCGGUUUUUCAUCUUCUGCUAUUUGAUAACGAAGGUAAAAGAAAAUUCCUUCUACACCAAAUAAAUUAAACUUCUCAAUAAUUUACAGCUCCGGGCAUGUUUGCCAGACUAGCAUAACUGAAUAAAGUCAACAGACUAAACGUUCCCCUGGCAAUCGGCGAGGGUAUGAGAGACAGCACCUGGGCCGCCCCACGGGUCUCGUUAUUAAAUCACAGGCCAGAGCUUGGAAUCCAGGGUCCCCAGGGACAGGUCGGAGCUGACUGUGGAGGACGGAGCUUCUGUCCCCCUGGUGUCAUUCCUGUGAAUUUAGGAAGCGGAAAACUCUCAGAACAACGGAGAGAGAAAGAGAAAGGGAGAGGAGAGGGAGGGAAGGUGGAGGGAGAGAGAUGGGGGAGGGGGAGAGUCUGCACGUUUCUUAGGGGGAAGAUUCUAGUUACUUAUAUGUCACUAAAUUGGGGAUUCAUCAACAGAACAGUGUAUAUUUCCACGAUCUCGGAGCAAAAGUGAAAAAGAGUUAGGGAACAUUUUGCAACUGGAACCACUAUUUAUCACUGUCAAGAUCAGAACGAGGACUAGCUAGAAAAACACCCAGUGCUUCCCUCUCGCUAAUUCCUGGGUCUGACCACCACCUGCCUUUGCCCAGAGGAGGAAGGGCUGUCUGUGAGCUGACGCAACAACAGAGGAGCAUCCGAGUGCAGGAUCCCGAGUCACACGUGGCACCUGGUCUACUUCUCGGGAAGGUUUCACACGCUGGAAACCAGCCAUCUCAUCUUUAACAAGUGGAACUUAUCAAAGUAUGGUUUCAAAUUUGCACAUUUGAUGAUGGGAGGGCUCACAUGAUCAGUGGAAAGUUGGGGGGAGAAGCAAAUAUAUGUUUAGUCAGUGGAUAUCCCAUUGUUCGAUCAUAUUCACUGCACCCAGGAGACAAACAGGGUCCCAUUAAAAACAGUAAAUACCUCUCUCUCCUCUAUAAAGCUCUCGUGGGAACCUAAGUGCUGUCAGGAAAUACGAGGGGCAGAACUACGCUCACACUUAACUGCCGUUGGCGCAGCUUCUCUGGAGAAGAAUGGGAGGGGAGAAGAAAGGCCACUCCAGGAAGAAAGGGUGGAAGAGGAGCUCCCAGGCCUGGCUUAUGAGUGUGGCCUUGAACACGUCCACAGACGUGUUGUUGUCCUGUUGAGUCUGCAGCCAGGAAGGCGGAACUCACUGCAGAGGGCAGGUGUGAACGUGCCACUUCAGAGCCAGUGCUCUUUGAAGACGGAAAGUCAAGGACCCCAGUCCCUUCCAGGAAACAAGGACAUAAUUAUCACAACACCCAACUGGCCGGUGACCUUCAUUCCUCAGGCCCGCCCUACUCCCUCUGCUGGCACCAGCCCAGGUCCCCACAGCCUGAGCCCUGUGUCCAGACUGCUGAGAUCCAGAAGCAGCCCCCUUGCACACCCUUUGAAAGGGUUCUUAAUCUCUUUCUACUACGCUGCUCUCCCAACAUAAAUCCGCCAGCCUAGGGGCCUCUGAACCCCCGCGAAGGGAGGCCCAUCCAGGCCAGAAGUCUGAGCCGCGGAGGCGUGGAAUUUAUGCUUCCUCUCACCUGCGUGUCUGUCUGUGGCCCCGACUCCAGUCUGUUGUUGGAGGUUUGAACAUAACCUCCCAGCUCCUUGCCAAGUCUGCCAUCAUCACCUCAGCCACAGAAGCUGACUCCUCAAGGCCACUGGAAGCCACUUCAUUAUUAUGUUUGAAAUGUUGAAAGCAGGAGCCUAAUAAAAUGAGUUCAGAAAAACAAAAA
Molecule: non-coding RNA, 4504 nt
Organism: Equus caballus (horse)
Lineage: Eukaryota; Metazoa; Chordata; Mammalia; Perissodactyla; Equidae
Source: RefSeq, a predicted model, not a curated record